UGGGGAAUAUUGCACAAUGGGCGCAAGCCUGAUGCAGCCAUGCCGCGUGUAUGAAGAAGGAAUUAGGGUUGUAAAGUAAUUUCAGAGGGGAGGAAGGUGUUGUGGUUAAUAACCACAGCAAUUGACGUUACCCGCAGAAGAGGCACCGGCUAACUCCGUGCCAGCAGCCGCGGUAAUACGGAGGGUGCAAGCGUUAAUCGGAAUUACUGGGCGUAAAGCGCACGCAGGCGGUCUGUCAAGUCGGAUGUGAAAUCCCCAGGCUCAACCUGGGAACUGCAUCCGAAACUGGCAGGCUUGAGUCUUGUAGAGGGGGGUAGAAUUCCAGGUGUAGCGGUGAAAUGCGUAGAGAUCUGGAGGAAUACCGGUGGCGAAGGCGGCCCCCUGGACAAAGACUGACGCUCAGGUGCGAAAGCGUGGGGAGCAAACA
Molecule: ribosomal RNA, 427 nt
Filed under: uncultured bacterium
Lineage: Bacteria
Description: partial 16S ribosomal RNA
Rfam family: Bacterial small subunit ribosomal RNA
Source: RNAcentral